Molecule: unclassified non-coding RNA, 155 nt
Filed under: Pestalotiopsis palmarum
Lineage: Eukaryota; Fungi; Ascomycota; Sordariomycetes; Amphisphaeriales; Sporocadaceae
Description: ITS2
Source: RNAcentral
UGUUGGGAAUCUACUUCUUUAUAGUUGUAGUUCCUGAAAUACAACGGCCGGAUUUGUAGUAUCCUCUGAGCGUAGUAAUUUUUUUCUCGCUUUUGUUAGGUGCUAUAACUCCCAGCCGCUAAACCCCCAAUUUUUUGUAAUUGACCUCGGAUCAG